This 496-nucleotide ribosomal RNA is filed under the name uncultured bacterium. RNAcentral's name for it is "partial 16S ribosomal RNA". It matches the Rfam family "Bacterial small subunit ribosomal RNA", at positions 29 to 507 of the family's 1533-position model. The record is from RNAcentral.
AUGAACGCUGGCGGCGUGCCUCAUACCUGCAAGUCGAGCGCACAGACGAGGAGCUUGCUCCUCUGACGUUAGCGGCGGACGGGUGAGUAACACGUGGAUAACCUACCUAUAAGACUGGGAUAACUUCGGGAAACCGGAGCUAAUACCGGAUAAUAUAUUGAACCGCAUGGUUCAAUAGUGAAAGACGGUUUUGCUGUCACUUAUAGAUGGAUCCGCGCCGCAUUAGCUAGUUGGUAAGGUAACGGCUUACCAAGGCAACGAUGCGUAGCCGACCUGAGAGGGUGAUCGGCCACACUGGAACUGAGACACGGUCCAGACUCCUACGGGAGGCAGCAGUAGGGAAUCUUCCGCAAUGGGCGAAAGCUUGACGGAGCAACGCCGCGUGAGUGAUGAAGGUCUUCGGAUCGUAAAACUCUGUUAUUAGGGAAGAACAAAUGUGUAAGUAACUAUGCACGUCUUGACGGUACCUAAUCAGAAAGCCACGGCUAACUACGUG